AGUUUUCUAUGUUGACUCCAAGUGAUUAAAGUGAGUGCCGCUAGCAAUGUAUGGACUUAUUAAAUGCGUGUUAUCUGCGUUUCUUGUGCCAUGUGGAUUUCAAGAACAAAGAAAGAGGGACGUCAACGCCGUCCGUUUAAAGAAAGGGACAUAGCGCAUUAAAUUAAUGCGUUAUACCUAUUUUUGUCUCUCCUUUGGAGUUCUUUGGUUUGAGUUUUCUAUGUUGACUUUAAGUGAUUAAAUGCGUGUUAUCUGCGUUUCCUGUGCCAUGUGGAUUUCAAGAAUAAAGAAAGAGGGACGUCAACGCCGUCCGUUUAAAGAAAGGGACAUAGCGCAUUAAAUUAAUGUGUUAUACCUAUUUUUGUCUUUCCUUUUUUUUCCGCCAUAGUUUGGUCGCUUGAGUCUAAUUGUACAGUAUUUGGAUUCCGGCCUCGUGUGCCUCAUGGCCCUCAUCCUUUGGAGUUCUUUGGUUUGAGUUUUCUAUGUUGACUCCAAGUGAUUAAAGUGAGUGCCGCUAGCAAUGUAUGGACUUAUUUACUGGAAAAUCUUAGAAGUAUAUAGAUGUCCAUGUUUAGGCUACAUAUCAGCUAACAUACUCCUAUUCCGGAGCCUCUGGUGUGGAUCUAUAUUUGAUGCUAUAAGGAAAGCUCUGUUUUGAUUUCAAUGUGUUCUUAAUUACUUCAUGUAGUUUCUUUGCUUGAUGUGUAGAUAUGAAGCAAAAUCUGGCAGUGCAUGCCAAAAUGCAUUUUGUUCCAAAAUUGAACAUAUGAAAUAGACACCAUUUAGAUCUUACUUGCUAUCUUUGCUUUUCUGUGCAUAUUUCGGCCCCAGAUUCGUGUGAAGUAUUGGUAGCAACGCGGUAUUUCCUUUCUACUUGUGAAGCAAUAUGUUGUCGUGGCCGAUGGGAAGGGCUCAACUUGGCUGUGGCUCUGUCGCUCUGAUCAGCAAGCUGAUAAUUGUAAAAAGAUUUGGGAAGUUGUGAGUGGUGGAAACGAGCAGCUCUUAGCAAUGGAGAUUGGGCAUUAGAAGAAAACAUUGAGAUAACAGGCAAUUGGGGCCGUCCUCUUCAUAUUAUUUUUGUGUCUGUCUGUGUGUGUACAAGUAAGUGGGAGCCUGCUGCAAAAUGUGUGGAAGAAUACACUUUAUUUUUUUCAAUUCCUCAUGAACUUGAAACCAACCAGUUGGGAUUAAAAUUUGAUUAAUUAUUACAUUUACAUUAGAUAUGGAGUUUGCUAGGCAUGUUCUUAGUCUUGUUAUAUACUUGUAUGGCAAUGUAAAUAAAUGAGAGACUUCAAGAAAUUUCUAGUCCUAAAAGAUAAAUUAUACUCAUUCAAUAUUGAAAUGAGUAGGUUCCUAUAUUGCAAAAUCGUUACGAAGGAUUGAAACAGUGAAUAUUUACUAGUU
This 1404-nucleotide long non-coding RNA is filed under the name Nicotiana tabacum (common tobacco). Its description in RNAcentral is "long non-coding RNA (NTAB_LNC003768)". The record is from RNAcentral. Lineage: Eukaryota; Viridiplantae; Streptophyta; Magnoliopsida; Solanales; Solanaceae.